Spinacia oleracea (spinach) is the source of this 1733-nucleotide RNA transcript. It is a transcript of the gene named quinone-oxidoreductase homolog, chloroplastic-like, with no coding region annotated. Lineage: Eukaryota; Viridiplantae; Streptophyta; Magnoliopsida; Caryophyllales; Amaranthaceae. The record is from RefSeq and is a predicted model, not a curated record. The transcript is spliced from 4 exons.
UAAAGGACGGCUUAUUCAUGUCUCUCACGGAGAUUGCUCUACGCCUCCUAACCUCACCUCCUCGCAUCUCCAUCUCUCUCCUCCUUAAACCAGCCCCUCUCUCCUCCUCUGCCGUCAUUGAUCUUGUAGCGUCUAUGGAAACGGUGUCGCGACGGUGGCAUUGUGGGCGAUAGAUGUCGGUGCUUGUGGCUCUGUAAUUCCAAGAUUAGGGUUUCUAUUUUGGUUUAUUCGGACAAGCAAAUGGUUGCCAAAUUAAUGAAUGCGAUUCGGUAUUCUCGCUAUGGCGGUGGAACUACUGCUUUAAAGCGUGUUAAGAUUGAUGUUCCUGAUCCAAAGGCCGAUGAGGUUUUGCUAAAGGUUGAGGUUGUAUCUUUAAACGCAUUUGAUUGGAAGAUACAAAAGGGCGUAUCUCGUCCCAUAUUACCCAGAAAGUUCCCUUAUGUACCAGUUUUCUGAGCAUGAGGUUCGGUAUGGAUGGAAGGCAUCCCAUCUCCUUUCUUCAUCUGAUACAUUACUUGAUAAUAUAACUGCAGUUCUUGUAUAUAUCUUGAAAUAUUAAGUUGUUUUGUUCUUCAACCUUCCCCUUUUCCUUUGAGAAACCUGUGGAUGGGGUACUUAUUAUUUUAGUGGCGUCCUUUUCAAGAAGUUAUUAUUGUACUAAAGGUAUAUUAUUUUAGUGGCGUCAGCUAUACUAAAGAUCAUAUACAUAAUUGUCCAUGCUUUUAGUAGAAGCAGUCUUUAAUUGCAUCGUUUUCUGACAAAUCUCAUCCUUUAACUAGAUCAUUUAAGUAUAGAAGUAGUUUAGUGGUCUGAAAAUUUUGGAGUCUGGUGUUCCCGUGAUGACUGUCCUGCUUAUACUUCUACUGCUGUUGACUGUCCUGCUUCUUGUCCUGCAACUCUGUUUGUUGAUCGAGCUUCAUAAAUCAGACUAGUUCCUGUAAGUUAUAUAUAGGAAUGCAUCAGAUAGGAGAGAGUAGCAUAGGCAGACUGUGACUGAGUACUCAAGAUCUAAAUCUGAUAUAGUAAUCUGAUUUAGUAAUCUGGCCAUACUAAAUCUGAUUUCUAACCAUAUAAUCUGACCAUAUAAUCUGAUCAGUUAGUUACACAUAAUCUGAUUAGUUAGUUACACAUAAUCUGGUUGGUAUGAGAAGUAUGUAUAGAAAAGGCAGACAUCAUAUGGACUAACAAUGAUAGACAACCCCCUAAUGAAUGACCUGUAAAUUGAAAUUUUGCAUCUUCUCCAUGGGAAUCUAUAUGGUUUUGGAUUUCUGGCAUUAAUUGCUCGUAUAUUUCCUUUGCUGCUUCAUAAAUCCCUCGAUGAACAGCUACAUGUUUUUCAUGUGUUUGUUGCUAGUGUUUAGAAAGGUUUUACAAGCUAGCACCUCUAAAUAAAUCUCAAAAUUAAGAGUUGAACUAGAUCGAAUAGGUUGCUUUUACCUCGAAUUUUGCUGGCUCAUAAAAAAGGUUUGUUUGCCAAGAAGCCAUUGACUCAGACUCCUGCAAUAGUGCAGUAAGUUUAAACAAAUAAGGUCAUGUUUUAAGAGAAAAUACUAGGCUUACUCUUUUGUCGAGGAACUUUACCAGAUCCUUGGUUUCUGAGCUUCUGCUUACCCCAAAAUAUACAGCAGAAUCGUACAAUAAUAGCCAAGACAACCAAGAUAAUGGUUUCAAACAGCAAGAAUAGAACUAUGGCUCUUUCGUUUCCUAGACAAAGAAAGAAUUAGUAUCUCAAA